CUGCCAUCGGCCAGGAUUUCCGAGGACUGGUGUGUGCGGGCCUGCUGAUGAAAAAGUCGACUUGGUCAAUUCGACCGUCCUAGGUCGGGGUCUGACUCUUCUGGGCCUGUGAAGUUGGCCCAUGCGCCUAUGGACUCUCCUCCGCCUAUGGGGCACGGAGCCAGCCGGUCCAUGUGGACUAUUUGGACGUCGUUCGGCUGCCGGUCAUUCCGUAUCCUGGCAUCAGAGUCAUUUAGCACAGCAGGGGGCCUGCGGUGUCAACGUGCCACCGCCCGUGCAGGACGCCAUCAUGGAAGAUCCUCAACGGCACUCGUGUGGGGUGCAACGGCCCCUUGACUCGGAUGCACAGCACGCAGUUGGCGAUGACCUCGGCCGUGUCAUUGGCCAUGCCCGGCCACCAGAAGAAACGCUUCAAUGCGUCCAGUGUCUUGUGGAUGCCGAAGUGGGUCUCCCGUUGCAUGCUCCUCUUUGCGGUACAACAAGUCGCCUUGGAUCGCCAGCGAGUUAAAGUUGUGCCAGAGUGUUCGGGUCACCGGCCCGUACUUGGAGACUUCCUGGAAGUGUGGUUUCUGCCCGUCUAGAACUGCCAGGUGAGGCUGCUCUCGCCUCGUCGACCCGUGUCCAGUUCACCAGGGCGUCACGCUGUUCCAGUUUGAGGCACUUCUGGCAUCCAGGCAUGCAAGGACGGGCGGGUCUCCGGCUUAGUGCGUCGGCGUGCCCGAUGUUGACCCCUCGUUCGUGUACUACUUCGAACUUGCUCCUUCGCACUCUUCCGUCCAGUUAAAGACUGUCCCAAGUCUUGUGAGAGCGAACAUUGGUGUGGCCAUCGUGGCGAGGUGUGGCACGUACUUGGCGUAGUACUGGACUAGGCCGAGCCAUGACCGCACCUCUUUCACGUCCUUUGGAGUUGGCCAGUGUGUGAUAAGGAGGAACCCUGACGCUCAGACUCGAUUAAAGAAGGCUUGGAGCCGUUGUAACAUCUGUUCGACAUCUUCUCCGGCUAUGCAGACGUCGUCUAUGUAGACUGCCACGGUCUCUCCGAUGUCAUUGUCUGGAGUCUUUUCUGCCGGUGGAGUCACCAACCGGUCUGUCACAUACUGGAAUGCUCCUGGAGCUGCUGACAGGCCAAAGCCCAGCCUUGUGUACUCGUACUGUCUGCAAGGAGUUCCUGCGUUCGAGGUAUUGGUGCUGCUGGGACUCUGGUGAUGGCGUUCAGCGCUCUGUAGUCUACGCAAACUCUCACCUCUCCGGACUUCUUUGGGAUGCACAAGAUUGGAGACGCCCAAGCUGAUUGGCUGGGUUUGAUCGCCCCCAUUUUCAGAACUGGGGCCUUGAUUCUCCUUAUCCUCCUCCUGAGGUGUGAGGGGUGACUUGGACGUGGUCCCGAGAUUCGAUUUCGGUGUGGACAGCACCUCCAUCUCCUCCAGGGGCUCGUCCUCGCCCGCCGCCUCACACUCCAGCCACUCGUUAACAUCUCCCAGCUCCUCCACUGUGGUGUCUGCAUCCAGCACCGUGGAGAGACUCUUCUCAACAAAAGGCCGGGUCGGAGUUUGGACUUCACUGGUUCCUUGUGCUGCGACCUGGUUUAGAGACAUCCUGCUCCCCUCCGACUGGGCGGACGUCUCGACUAGUUUUCCGGCUGAGGAGGGACGUAAGGGAAUUGGGCAGGUUGCUGCCUUUGUGGCGGUUGCUGCUGCUGUUGUUGCUGUUGUUGCCCCGCAGCUUGUUGGAAUUGGUAAAACGCCAUUGCCAUGCGUAGGGCUUCUGGGGGAAAAUCUGGUUGCCUGUUUCCCCUGCCAUUGCCCCGCUGCCCUCCUCUAGGGCCUCCGCCAUUCUGUUCGUCCCUCUGGCGGUCCCAGCAAUCGCGAAUCACGUGGCCUCGUCUUCGGCAGUAGUGGCAUUCCACUCCGGAUUGGUUGUUGUUGCCGUUGCCGUUGUUAUUGUGAUUGCCGUUGUUGUUUCCGCCGUUAUUAUUUCUUCGCGGUUGGGGGCAGUUUGCCACGAAAUGUCCAGGCUGCUGGCAGUUGUGGCAGACUGCUUCGCCGUUUACGUAGCCUGCGCCUCCUCUGCCUCCGCCGCCUCUGCCUCGGCCGCCACGGCUUCCUCGGCCUCCACGGCUUCCGCGGCCUCCACGGCUCCCUGGACCUCCGCCCCUACCCCUCCAGGUGGUUUGGGUGGGUGUCUCGGUGGAAGUCCCGGCAGCGGCAGGCUGUUGGUCGAACUGCCUGACCGGUGCUUCCUUGUCGACUUCCAUGUCGGUGUCGUCCUCGUCGAUCUUGGCGAGUCGCAACCGUUUGGCAGGUUGCUCGCCUGACAGUAGUAGUGCGCGGUUAAGGUUUUUGACCGCGUCGGCAAGGGUGUCGCUUGAGGAGUAAGCCAGUUGUACUGCCACUUUCCUGUCGUAAAGCCCUUUGACAAAGGCUGAGACCAGGGCCUCCUGAAUAUCCCGCUCGUUCUGGGUCACCAUAUAUUGGCGCCCUACGUGUUCGAGCUCCAGAGCAAAAUCUUGAAUGCUUUGGUUUUCUUUCUGUUGCAUGGUUUCGAAAUCCCUCUUUCGUUGCCAAUACGAUGUCGCCUUGCUGUAAGUCCUGGCGAGAAUGCUGUCCACCUCUUCAAAGAGCAUCCUGCGGUGACGACUUCGAAUUGCUGUCGCCACAUGGCGUAGCACUGCUCGCCAUCGUACUCGGGGAUUCGUGACGUCGACGCCGUCGGUUCCUGGGUUCCGGCGCGGAGAUUUUGUGGUGGCUGAAGCUGAUUUUGGGAACCCUACGGGUCGUGCCCUCCUGGCUGGCUGGACGCGUGGACGGCCUACACCUCGUCCCCGCCCUCGCCCUCGUCCUCUGCCACGGCCUCGGCCUCGGCCACGGGGAACCACGGGUGGUUGUGGUUCUGGCUCCCCCAAGGCUCCAGGGCCUUGAAUUAUUCGAAGGACGUCGUCUGGGGCCAGUCCUUCAAGAUCAAGUGCCAUAUUUUCUUCGUGAUCGAGGGCUUGUGGCCAAUCG
Molecule: long non-coding RNA, 3002 nt
Filed under: Thrips palmi
Lineage: Eukaryota; Metazoa; Arthropoda; Insecta; Thysanoptera; Thripidae
Description: uncharacterized LOC117648083
Source: RNAcentral